RNAcentral lists this transfer RNA (71 nucleotides) under Pygopus nigriceps. RNAcentral describes it as "tRNA-Trp". The record is from RNAcentral. Lineage: Eukaryota; Metazoa; Chordata; Lepidosauria; Squamata; Pygopodidae.
AGAAACUUAGGUUACACACAAACCAAGAGCCUUCAAAGCCCUAAACACGGAUAUUUACCCCGUAGUUUCUG